This 468-nucleotide ribosomal RNA is filed under the name uncultured bacterium. Its description in RNAcentral is "partial 16S ribosomal RNA". It matches the Rfam family "Bacterial small subunit ribosomal RNA", at positions 28 to 507 of the family's 1533-position model. The record is from RNAcentral.
GACGAACGCUGGCGGCGUGCUUAACACAUGCAAGUCGAACGGAAACGCCCUGCUUUUGUGGGAUGCUCGAGUGGCGAACGGGUGAGUAACACGUGAGUAACCUGCCCUUGACUUUGGGAUAACUUCAGGAAACUGGGGCUAAUACCGGAUAGGAGCUCCUGCUGCAUGGCGGGGGUUGGAAAGUUUCGGCGGUUGGGGAUGGACUCGCGGCUUAUCAGCUUGUUGGUGGGGUUGUGGCUUACCAAGGCUUUGACGGGUAGCCGGCCUGAGAGGGUGACCGGCCACAUUGGGACUGAGGUACGGCCCAUACUCCUACGGGAGGCAGCAGUGGGGAAUAUGGCACAAUGGGCGGAAGCCUGAUGCAGCAACGCCGCGUGCGGGAUGACGGCCGUCGGGUUGUAAACCGCUUUCGCCUGUGACGAAGCGUGAGUGACGGUAAUGGGUAAAGAAGCACCGGCUAACUACGUG